GGGGGUUUAGCUCAGUGGUAGAGCGCUUGCCUAGGAAGCGCAAGGCCCUGGGUUCGAUCCCCAGCUCCA
This is a non-coding RNA of Rattus norvegicus (Norway rat), 69 nucleotides long. NCBI's taxonomy places the organism in Eukaryota, Metazoa, Chordata, Mammalia, Rodentia, Muridae. The record is from Rfam.